GGAUUAGAUACCCUGGUAGUCCACGCCGUAAACGAUGAUCACUCGCUGUUGGCGAUACACAGUCAGUGGCUAAGCGAAAGUUUUAAGUGAUCCACCUGGGGAGUACGAUCGCAAGAUUGAAACUCAAAGGAAUUGACGGGGGCCCGCACAAGCGGAGGAACAUGUGGUUUAAUUCGAUGAUACGCGAGGAACCUUACCUGGGCUUAAAUGUAGAACGACCGGUCUAGAGAUAGACCUUUCUUCGGACGGUUUACAAGGUGCUGCAUGGUUGUCGUCAGCUCGUGCCG
Molecule: ribosomal RNA, 287 nt
Filed under: uncultured bacterium
Lineage: Bacteria
Description: partial 16S ribosomal RNA
Rfam family: Bacterial small subunit ribosomal RNA
Source: RNAcentral